This 177-nucleotide ribosomal RNA is filed under the name uncultured Vibrio sp. RNAcentral's name for it is "partial 16S ribosomal RNA". It matches the Rfam family "Bacterial small subunit ribosomal RNA", at positions 355 to 524 of the family's 1533-position model. The record is from RNAcentral. Lineage: Bacteria; Pseudomonadati; Pseudomonadota; Gammaproteobacteria; Vibrionales; Vibrionaceae.
UGGGGAAUAUUGCACAAUGGGGCGCAAGCCUGAUGCAGCCAUGCCGCGUGUAUGAAGAAGGCCUUCGGGUUGUAAGUACUUUCAGUAGGGAGGAAGGUGAUUAAGUUAAUACCUUAAUCAUUUGACGUUACCUACAGAAGAAGCACCGGCUAACUCCGUGCCAGCAGCCGCGGUAAU